GUCUUUUUGUUUUUUAUAUAAGGUCAGACCUGCCCAAUGAAUUUUAAAUGGCCGCAGUACUUUAACUGUGCAAAGGUAGCAUAAUAAUUUGUUUUUUAAUUGGAAACUAGUAUGAAUGGUCAUACGAGGGAUUGACUUUCUUUAUCUUACUUAAAUUAAUUUUAUUUUUCUGUGAAAAAGCAGAAAUUUCAUUAGUAGACGAUAAGACCCUUUAAAACUUUAUUCAUUAUAGAAGUAUAAUUUUAUUAGGUUUUAAUAGUGUACUUUUUUAAUGAGUUUUGUUGGGGCGACAGGUAAAUUUAUUUAACUUUAUUUUUGUUUUUCACUAAUUAGUGUUUAUUUGAUCCAGAUUUAGUUUUGAUUAUAAGUUUAAGUUACUUAA
RNAcentral lists this ribosomal RNA (382 nucleotides) under Cimex lectularius (bed bug). RNAcentral's name for it is "partial 16S ribosomal RNA". Lineage: Eukaryota; Metazoa; Arthropoda; Insecta; Hemiptera; Cimicidae. The record is from RNAcentral.